RNAcentral lists this ribosomal RNA (449 nucleotides) under uncultured bacterium. Its description in RNAcentral is "partial 16S ribosomal RNA". It matches the Rfam family "Bacterial small subunit ribosomal RNA", at positions 29 to 523 of the family's 1533-position model. The record is from RNAcentral.
AACGAACGCUGGCGGCAUGCCUAACACAUGCAAGUCGAACGAGACCUUCGGGUCUAGUGGCGCACGGGUGCGUAACGCGUGGGAAUCUACCCUUGGGUUCGGAACAACAGUUAGAAAUGACUGCUAAUACCGGAUGAUGACGUAAGUCCAAAGAUUUAUCGCCCAAGGAUGAGCCCGCGUAAGAUUAGCUUGUUGGUGGGGUAAUGGCCUACCAAGGCGACGAUCUUUAGCUGGUCUGAGAGGAUGAUCAGCCACACUGGGACUGAGACACGGCCCAGACUCCUACGGGAGGCAGCAGUGGGGAAUAUUGGACAAUGGGCGAAAGCCUGAUCCAGCAAUGCCGCGUGAGUGAUGAAGGCCUUAGGGUUGUAAAGCUCUUUUACCAGGGAUGAUAAUGGCAGUACCUGGAGAAUAAGCUCCGGCUAACUCCGUGCCAGCAGCCGCCGUAA